Molecule: ribosomal RNA, 392 nt
Filed under: uncultured bacterium
Lineage: Bacteria
Description: partial 16S ribosomal RNA
Rfam family: Bacterial small subunit ribosomal RNA
Source: RNAcentral
AUACGUAGGUGGCAAGCGUUAUCCGGAAUUAUUGGGCGUAAAGAGGGAGCAGGCGGCAGCAAGGGUCUGUGGUGAAAGCCUGAAGCUUAACUUCAGUAAGCCAUAGAAACCAGGCAGCUAGAGUGCAGGAGAGGAUCGUGGAAUUACCUGUGUAGCGGUGAAAUGCGUAUAUAUAUGGAGGAACACCAGUGGGGAAGGCGACGAUCUGGCCUGCAACUGACGCUCAGGCCCGAAAGCGUGGGGAGCAAAUAGGAUUAGAUACCCUAGUAGUCCACGCCGUAAACGAUGAGUACUAAGUGUUGGAUGUCAAAGUUCAGUGCUGCAGUUAACGCAAUAAGUACUCCGCCUGAGUAGUACGUUCGCAAGAAUGAAACUCAAAUGAAUUGACGGGG